This 1406-nucleotide ribosomal RNA is filed under the name Citrobacter sp. gx-42. RNAcentral describes it as "bacterial SSU rRNA". It matches the Rfam family "Bacterial small subunit ribosomal RNA". The record is from RNAcentral. Lineage: Bacteria; Pseudomonadati; Pseudomonadota; Gammaproteobacteria; Enterobacterales; Enterobacteriaceae.
UGGAGUCGGCCUACAGUGCAAGAAGAACGGUAGCACAGAGAGCUUGCUCCCGGGUGACGAGUGGCGGACGGGUGAGUAAUGUCUGGGAAACUGCCUGAUGGAGGGGGAUAACUACUGGAAACGGUAGCUAAUACCGCAUAACGUCGCAAGACCAAAGUGGGGGACCUUCGGGCCUCAUGCCAUCAGAUGUGCCCAGAUGGGAUUAGCUAGUAGGUGGGGUAAAGGCUCACCUAGGCGACGAUCCCUAGCUGGUCUGAGAGGAUGACCAGCCACACUGGAACUGAGACACGGUCCAGACUCCUACGGGAGGCAGCAGUGGGGAAUAUUGCACAAUGGGCGCAAGCCUGAUGCAGCCAUGCCGCGUGUAUGAAGAAGGCCUUCGGGUUGUAAAGUACUUUCAGCGGGGAGGAAGGCGUUAAGGUUAAUAACCUUGGUGAUUGACGUUACCCGCAGAAGAAGCACCGGCUAACUCCGUGCCAGCAGCCGCGGUAAUACGGAGGGUGCAAGCGUUAAUCGGAAUUACUGGGCGUAAAGCGCACGCAGGCGGUCUGUUAAGUCAGAUGUGAAAUCCCCGGGCUCAACCUGGGAACUGCAUUUGAAACUGGAGGCUUGAGUCUUGUAGAGGGGGGUAGAAUUCCCGGUGUACCGGUGAAAUGCCCCUGGACAAAGACUGACGCUCAGGUGCGAAAGCGUGGGAGCAAACAGGAUUAGAUACCCUGGUAGUCCACGCUGUAAACGAUGUCGACUUGGAGGUUGUUCCCUUGAGGAGUGGCUUCCGGAGCUAACGCGUUAAGUCGACCGCCUGGGGAGUACGGCCGCAAGGUUAAAACUCAAAUGAAUUGACGGGGGCCCGCACAAGCGGUGGAGCAUGUGGUUUAAUUCGAUGCAACGCGAAGAACCUUACCUACUCUUGACAUCCAGAGAACUUAGCAGAGAUGCUUUGGUGCCUUCGGGAGCUCUGAGACAGGUGCUGCAUGGCUGUCGUCAGCUCGUGUUGUGAAAUGUUGGGUUAAGUCCCGCAACGAGCGCAACCCUUAUCCUUUGUUGCCAGCGGUCCGGCCGGGAACUCAAAGGAGACUGCCAGUGAUAAACUGGAGGAAGGUGGGGAUGACGUCAAGUCAUCAUGGCCCUUACGAGUAGGGCUACACACGUGCUACAAUGGCAUAUACAAAGAGAAGCGACCUCGCGAGAGCAAGCGGACCUCAUAAAGUAUGUCGUAGUCCGGAUUGGAGUCUGCAACUCGACUCCAUGAAGUCGGAAUCGCUAGUAAUCGUAGAUCAGAAUGCUACGGUGAAUACGUUCCCGGGCCUUGUACACACCGCCCGUCACACCAUGGGAGUGGGUUGCAAAAGAAAUUGUAAGCUUAACUUCCACUGGACCAAGUCGUAACAAGGAACCCAAGAGCC